RNAcentral lists this ribosomal RNA (440 nucleotides) under uncultured bacterium. RNAcentral describes it as "partial 16S ribosomal RNA". It matches the Rfam family "Bacterial small subunit ribosomal RNA", at positions 338 to 795 of the family's 1533-position model. The record is from RNAcentral.
CCUACGGGUGGCAGCAGUGGGGGAUAUUGCACAAUGGGGGAAACCCUGAUGCAGCGACGCCGCGUUUGGGAAGACGGUCCUCUGGAUUGUAAACCACUGUCCCCAGGGACGAAGAUGACGGUACCUGGGGAGGAAGCUCCGGCUAACUACGUGCCAGCAGCAGCGGUAAUACGUAGGGAGCGAGCGUUGUCCGGAAUUACUGGGUGUAAGGGGAGCGUAGGCGGGACUGCAAGUUGGGUGUCAAAUCUACCGGCUCAACCGGUAGCCGCACUCAAAACUGCAGUUCUUGAGUGAAGUAGAGGCAGGCGGAAUUCCUAGUGUAGCGGUGAAAUGCGUAGAUAUUAGGAGGAACACCAGUGGCGAAGGCGGCCUGCUGGGCUUUUACUGACGCUGAGGCUCGAAAGUGUGGGGAGCAAACAGGAUUAGAUACCCCAGUAGUC